UUAAAUUGAAGAGUUUGAUCAUGGCUCAGAUUGAACGCUGGCGGCAGGCCUAACACAUGCAAGUCGAACGGUAACAGGAAGCAGCUUGCUGUUUCGCUGACGAGUGGCGGACGGGUGAGUAAUGUCUGGGAAACUGCCUGAUGGAGGGGGAUAACUACUGGAAACGGUAGCUAAUACCGCAUAACGUCGCAAGACCAAAGAGGGGGACCUUCGGGCCUCUUGCCAUCGGAUGUGCCCAGAUGGGAUUAGCUAGUAGGUGGGGUAACGGCUCACCUAGGCGACGAUCCCUAGCUGGUCUGAGAGGAUGACCAGCCACACUGGAACUGAGACACGGUCCAGACUCCUACGGGAGGCAGCAGUGGGGAAUAUUGCACAAUGGGCGCAAGCCUGAUGCAGCCAUGCCGCGUGUAUGAAGAAGGCCUUCGGGUUGUAAAGUACUUUCAGCGGGGAGGAAGGGAGUAAAGUUAAUACCUUUGCUCAUUGACGUUACCCGCAGAAGAAGCACCGGCUAACUCCGUGCCAGCAGCCGCGGUAAUACGGAGGGUGCAAGCGUUAAUCGGAAUUACUGGGCGUAAAGCGCACGCAGGCGGUUUGUUAAGUCAGAUGUGAAAUCCCCGGGCUCAACCUGGGAACUGCAUCUGAUACUGGCAAGCUUGAGUCUCGUAGAGGGGGGUAGAAUUCCAGGUGUAGCGGUGAAAUGCGUAGAGAUCUGGAGGAAUACCGGUGGCGAAGGCGGCCCCCUGGACGAAGACUGACGCUCAGGUGCGAAAGCGUGGGGAGCAAACAGGAUUAGAUACCCUGGUAGUCCACGCCGUAAACGAUGUCGACUUGGAGGUUGUGCCCUUGAGGCGUGGCUUCCGGAGCUAACGCGUUAAGUCGACCGCCUGGGGAGUACGGCCGCAAGGUUAAAACUCAAAUGAAUUGACGGGGGCCCGCACAAGCGGUGGAGCAUGUGGUUUAAUUCGAUGCAACGCGAAGAACCUUACCUGGUCUUGACAUCCACGGAAGUUUUCAGAGAUGAGAAUGUGCCUUCGGGAACCGUGAGACAGGUGCUGCAUGGCUGUCGUCAGCUCGUGUUGUGAAAUGUUGGGUUAAGUCCCGCAACGAGCGCAACCCUUAUCCUUUGUUGCCAGCGGUCCGGCCGGGAACUCAAAGGAGACUGCCAGUGAUAAACUGGAGGAAGGUGAGGAUGACGUCAAGUCAUCAUGGCCCUUACGACCAGGGCUACACACGUGCUACAAUGGCGCAUACAAAGAGAAGCGACCUCGCGAGAGCAAGCGGACCUCAUAAAGUGCGUCGUAGUCCGGAUUGGAGUCUGCAACUCGACUCCAUGAAGUCGGAAUCGCUAGUAAUCGUGGAUCAGAAUGCCACGGUGAAUACGUUCCCGGGCCUUGUACACACCGCCCGUCACACCAUGGGAGUGGGUUGCAAAAGAAGUAGGUAGCUUAACCUUCGGGAGGGCGCUUACCACUUUGUGAUUCAUGACUGGGGUGAAGUCGUAACAAGGUAACCGUAGGGGAACCUGCGGUUGGAUCACCUCCUUACCUUAAAGAAGC
This 1556-nucleotide ribosomal RNA is filed under the name Escherichia coli. RNAcentral describes it as "bacterial SSU rRNA". It matches the Rfam family "Bacterial small subunit ribosomal RNA". The record is from RNAcentral. Lineage: Bacteria; Pseudomonadati; Pseudomonadota; Gammaproteobacteria; Enterobacterales; Enterobacteriaceae. RNAcentral also lists the same sequence under 1 other name.